Molecule: ribosomal RNA, 469 nt
Filed under: uncultured bacterium
Lineage: Bacteria
Description: bacterial SSU rRNA
Rfam family: Bacterial small subunit ribosomal RNA
Source: RNAcentral
GACGAACGCUGGCGGCGUGCUUAACACAUGCAAGUCGAACGGUGAACCUGGUGCUUGCACCGGGGGAUCAGUGGCGAACGGGUGAGUAACACGUGAGCAACCUGCCCCAGACUCUGGGAUAACUCCGAGAAAUCGGAGCUAAUACCGGAUGCGAGACACGCGGGCAUCCGCUGUGUCUGGAAAGAUUUAUCGGUCUGGGAUGGGCUCGCGGCCUAUCAGCUUGUUGGUGGGGUAACGGCCUACCAAGGCGACGACGGGUAGCCGGCCUGAGAGGGCGACCGGCCACACUGGGACUGAGACACGGCCCAGACUCCUACGGGAGGCAGCAGUGGGGAAUAUUGCACAAUGGGCGCAAGCCUGAUGCAGCGACGCCGCGUGGGGGAUGAAGGCCUUCGGGUUGUAAACCCCUUUCAGCAGGGAAGAAGCGCAAGUGACGGUACCUGCAGAAGAAGCGCCGGCUAACUACGUG